GAUGAACGCUGGCGGCGUGCCUAAUACAUGCAAGUCGAGCGAACAGACGAGGAGCUUGCUCCUCUGACGUUAGCGGCGGACGGGUGAGUAACACGUGGAUAACCUACCUAUAAGACUGGGAUAACUUCGGGAAACCGGAGCUAAUACCGGAUAAUAUAUUGAACCGCAUGGUUCAAUAGUGAAAGACGGUUUUGCUGUCACUUAUAGAUGGAUCCGCGCCGCAUUAGCUAGUUGGUAAGGUAACGGCUUACCAAGGCAACGAUGCGUAGCCGACCUGAGAGGGUGAUCGGCCACACUGGACCUGAGACACGGUCCAGCCUCCUACGGGAGGCAGCAGUAGGGAAUCUUCCGCAAUGGGCGAAAGCUUGACGGAGCAACGCCGCGUGAGUGAUGAAGGUCUUCGGAUCGUAAAACUCUGUUAUUAGGGAAGAACAAAUGUGUAAGUAACUAUGCACGUCUUGACGGUACCUAAUCAGAAAGCCACGGCUAACUACGG
RNAcentral lists this ribosomal RNA (496 nucleotides) under uncultured bacterium. RNAcentral describes it as "partial 16S ribosomal RNA". It matches the Rfam family "Bacterial small subunit ribosomal RNA", at positions 28 to 506 of the family's 1533-position model. The record is from RNAcentral.